Molecule: long non-coding RNA, 574 nt
Organism: Orcinus orca (killer whale)
Lineage: Eukaryota; Metazoa; Chordata; Mammalia; Artiodactyla; Delphinidae
Exons: 2
Source: RefSeq, a predicted model, not a curated record
GGUAAUUAUCUAUAUGUAUGUUCCUGUGACCAUUUUCUUAAUUGUUUUGGGUUUGUUUUUGUAGGUCCUUUUCUUCUCUUGUGUUUCCCACUUAGAGAAAAGUUCCUUUAGCAUUUGUUGUAGAGCUGGUUUGGUGGUGCUGAAUUCUCUUAGCUUUUGCUUCUCUGUAAAGCUUUUGAUUUCUGCAUCGAAUCUGAAUGAGAUCCUUGCUGGGUAGAGUAAUCUUCAUUGUAAGUUCUUCCCUUUCAUUACUUUAAGUAUAUCAUGCUACUCCCUUCUGGCUUGUAGACUUCCUGCUGAGAAAUCAGCUGUUAACCUUACGGGAGUUUCUUUGUAUGUUAUUUCUCAUUUUUCCCUUGCUGCUUUCAAUAAUUUUUCUUUGUCUUUAAUUUUUGCCAAUUUUAUUACUAUGUGUCUUGGCAUGUUUCUCCUUGGGUUUAUCCUGUAUGGGACUUGCUGUGCUUCCUGGACUUGGGUGGCUAUUUCCUUUCCCAUGUUAGGGAAGUUUUUGACUAUAAUCUAUUCAAAUAUUUUCUCUGGUCCUUUCUCUCUCUCUCUCUUCUCCUUCUGGGAC